This 805-nucleotide ribosomal RNA is filed under the name uncultured bacterium. RNAcentral describes it as "bacterial SSU rRNA". It matches the Rfam family "Bacterial small subunit ribosomal RNA", at positions 8 to 812 of the family's 1533-position model. The record is from RNAcentral.
AGAGUUUGAUCCUGGCUCAGGAUGAACGCUGGCGGCGUGCUUAACACAUGCAAGUCGAACGGAGAAUACUUUGACAGAGACUUCGGUUGAAGUCGUUGUAUUCUUAGUGGCGGACGGGUGAGUAACGCGUGGGUAACCUGCCUCACACUGGGGGACAACAGUUAGAAAUGACUGCUAAUACCGCAUAAGCGCACGGAAUCGCAUGAUUCCGUGUGAAAAACUCCGGUGGUGUGAGAUGGACCCGCGUCUGAUUAGCUAGUUGGUGGGGUAACGGCCUACCAAGGCGACGAUCAGUAGCCGACCUGAGAGGGUGACCGGCCACAUUGGGACUGAGACACGGCCCAAACUCCUACGGGAGGCAGCAGUGGGGAAUAUUGCACAAUGGGGGAAACCCUGAUGCAGCGACGCCGCGUGAAGGAAGAAGUAUCUCGGUAUGUAAACUUCUAUCAGCAGGGAAGAUAAUGACGGUACCUGACUAAGAAGCCCCGGCUAACUACGUGCCAGCAGCCGCGGUAAUACGUAGGGGGCAAGCGUUAUCCGGAUUUACUGGGUGUAAAGGGAGCGUAGACGGCGCGUUAAGUCUGAUGUGAAAGGCAGGGGCUCAACCCCUGGACUGCAUUGGAAACUGGCGUGCUUGAGUGCCGGAGAGGUAAGCGGAAUUCCUAGUGUAGCGGUGAAAUGCGUAGAUAUUAGGAGGAACACCAGUGGCGAAGGCGGCUUACUGGACGGUAACUGACGUUGAGGCUCGAAAGCGUGGGGAGCAAACAGGAUUAGAUACCCUGGUAGUCCACGCCGUAAACGAUGA